RNAcentral lists this ribosomal RNA (253 nucleotides) under uncultured bacterium. RNAcentral's name for it is "partial 16S ribosomal RNA". It matches the Rfam family "Bacterial small subunit ribosomal RNA", at positions 524 to 776 of the family's 1533-position model. The record is from RNAcentral.
UACGUAGGCAGCGAGCGUUGUUCGGAUUUACUGGGCGUAAAGGGUGUGUAGGCGGUUGUUUAAGUUUGGUGUGAAAUCUCCCGGCUCAACUGGGAGGGUGCGCCGAAUACUGAAUGACUAGAGUGCGGGAGAGGAAAGUGGAAUUCCUGGUGUAGCGGUGAGAUGCGUAGAUAUCAGGAAGAACACCCGUGGCUAAGGCGGCUCUCUAGUACGGUACUGACGCUGAGACGCGAAAGCGUGGGGAGCGAACAGG